CAGUAGCCGCGGUAAUACAGAGGGUGCGAGCGUUAAUCGGAUUUACUGGGCGUAAAGCGUGCGUAGGCGGCUUCUUAAGUCGGAUGUGAAAUCCCUGAGCUUAACUUAGGAAUUGCAUUCGAUACUGGGAAGCUAGAGUAUGGGAGAGGAUGGUAGAAUUCCAGGUGUAGCGGUGAAAUGCGUAGAGAUCUGGAGGAAUACCGAUGGCGAAGGCAGCCAUCUGGCCUAAUACUGACGCUGAGGUACGAAAGCAUGGGGAGCAAACAGGAUUAGAGACCCGGGUAGUCCCUGUCUCUUAUAC
Molecule: ribosomal RNA, 301 nt
Filed under: uncultured bacterium
Lineage: Bacteria
Description: partial 16S ribosomal RNA
Rfam family: Bacterial small subunit ribosomal RNA
Source: RNAcentral